AGGAUAAUAGUUUAAAAAAAAACAUUUAAUUUGCAUUUAAAAAAUAUAAAAAUCAUUAUUUAUCUU
This 66-nucleotide transfer RNA is filed under the name Scolytinae sp. BMNH 1040075. RNAcentral describes it as "tRNA-Ala". The record is from RNAcentral. Lineage: Eukaryota; Metazoa; Arthropoda; Insecta; Coleoptera; Curculionidae.